RNAcentral lists this long non-coding RNA (764 nucleotides) under Ananas comosus (pineapple). RNAcentral describes it as "long non-coding RNA (ACOM_LNC012444)". Lineage: Eukaryota; Viridiplantae; Streptophyta; Magnoliopsida; Poales; Bromeliaceae. The record is from RNAcentral.
UAAUUAAUCUCAUUUAUUUAUUCAUACACCAUAAUAUCAUAGUUUCUUCAUUCAUCUCAUGAUUUCAAUUUAAAAUUCAUUUUUUUAUACAAAAAAAUGUUAUUAUGAUCAAUGACCGAUAGAUUUGAAAUAUGUGAUGGAAAAUAUAGUCGAUCAAUAUAUAUAUAGCCCUAUCCGGAUGCAUGAGCACUACAAUAGAAUUAGGUUAUAGCGACACAUGUUUGGAACACUUUUGUAUAAGUGUCACAUUUAUACAAAAAACUUAAAAAAAAAUCUACUAAUGCCUAAAUAUAAAGCCCAAUCCAAUCAAAAAUAAAAGGUUACUCUACUUAACCCACCUCAUCCAGCCCAUUCGGCCCAAUUAAAAACAGAAAAGAAAAAAAAGAAAAAGAAAAAUCGAUUAUCAACUCCUCUUUUUCCCUUACUCAAUCCACUGAAAUUCUAGACGAAGAGCCAUUCCCUCUCCUCAUCCUCCGUCACCGCAGCCAACAAGUAGAGUUCCGACGGUAGCUAAAUGCUUAAAUAAGUGUUAGCAAAUUAGCAACACUCUUUUUAGAUUAUACCGACACUCUUUAACUGUCACUAUAUAUCUAUCCACCCUACAUAUAGCAAUACUUUUUAAAAGUGUCGGUAAUUUCGCGAGCAGCAUUUUUUUGAUUUGUACUAAUAUUUAAAAGUAUCGUUAUAGACCGUUUUUGUUGUAGUGGAGUAUCUUAUUAUACAUAUCCAUUCGAUUUACUUACGAAACUUAAUUAUAUUUAAUU